This 1156-nucleotide long non-coding RNA is filed under the name Homo sapiens (human). Its description in RNAcentral is "HSALNT0071351". Lineage: Eukaryota; Metazoa; Chordata; Mammalia; Primates; Hominidae. The record is from RNAcentral.
GGGUUGUGGUGGAGAUUGCCUAUCUUCACCAAACUCAUUGCCUCCUUUCUCCUGGCACAGAGCUGCACUGUAUUUUGCAGGCUCUGUUGAAGUUACAUCGCUGGUAAGCACUGGCCAAGUAAUUGAGUUACAGCCAAAGGGUGAUUAGAAGUGACGUGUGCCACCUCUACAUCUGAUCCACAAAACCUCCCAUUCCCCCAGGCUCUUCCCUGCUGCCAGUUCGAAGCAGAUGGGUGUGGCAGCUUGAAGUCACAUGUGAAGUUGAUGGUACCACAGGAUGGAGGGAGCACAGGUUCCUGAAUCUCUUCUUGGAGAAGGCCCAUCUGCUCACCAGGAAUCCCAUUUGAGACUCUACAUGAGAAAUACACGUCUAUUAUUGGAGCAAUUACAAAUUUCAGAGUUUGCUACAGCAGAUAUAUUCGUGUGUUUCACGUCACUUCCAUGCUGAGUUCUUGUCAGUUCAUCCUGGUGUGGGAAUAAUGUCCAGGGAAUACUUUCAUCGCCCACUGGGUUGACCUGACCUGACCUGAUUGGAGACAUGAAGCUGGAGGACCAGACGUGGUAUGGUGAUAAGAAUGUGUCCUGUGACACCUCACCCAGAUGUGCCAGUGGAAGAGAAACAAGGAUUAAAACGUGCAGGGACAGAGGCCAACCCAGAGAACACUCUGCCAGGCAUUAGGCACGUACAGUGGUAAGCAAGGCACUCAGUUCUCAUCAGCGUCUGAUUCAUGCAGAAGUUCUUUCCUGUUAAGAAUCUACUCAAUAAUGCAACACAUAUAAUUAGAAAUGAAUCAUAUGAAAUAGAUUUUAUCAGCAUUUCUAUAUUUACAGGGCACAAACCUGUAGCAGUUCUAUAAAAGUGAGUAAAUCUAUGUGUGAAAUCAUGUAUUUUAUGAAUCUGAUUAUUAAUAACAAGAAAGUGUACGCCAGAUGUGGUGUUCAUGCCUGGUAUAAACUUUGGUGUUCAUCCCACUGGCAUGAAAUUUGGGAGGCCAAGGUGGGAGGAUUGCUUGAGGCCAGGAGUUUGAGACCAACCUGGGCAAUAUAGCAAGACUCUGUUUCUACAAAACACACACACAAAAAAAAAUUAAAAGAAAGAGUAACAAGGAUGGGCAUGCUGGCUCACACCUGUAAUCCCAGCACUUUGGGAGGCUGA